This 492-nucleotide ribosomal RNA is filed under the name uncultured bacterium. RNAcentral describes it as "partial 16S ribosomal RNA". It matches the Rfam family "Bacterial small subunit ribosomal RNA", at positions 29 to 507 of the family's 1533-position model. The record is from RNAcentral.
AGUGAACGCUGGCGGUAGGCCUAACACAUGCAAGUCGAACGGCAGCAUAGUAAGAGCUUGCUCUUACGGGUGGCGAGUGGCGGACGGGUGAGGAAUACAUCGGAAUCUACUUUUUCGUGGGGGAUAACGUAGGGAAACUUACGCUAAUACCGCAUACGACCUACGGGUGAAAGCAGGGGAUCUUCGGACCUUGCGCGAUUGAAUGAGCCGAUGUCGGAUUAGCUAGUUGGCGGGGUAAAGGCCCACCAAGGCGACGAUCCGUAGCUGGUCUGAGAGGAUGAUCAGCCACACUGGAACUGAGACACGGUCCAGACUCCUACGGGAGGCAGCAGUGGGGAAUAUUGGACAAUGGGCGCAAGCCUGAUCCAGCCAUACCGCGUGGGUGAAGAAGGCCUUCGGGUUGUAAAGCCCUUUUGUUGGGAAAGAAAAGCAGCAGGUUAAUACCCCGCUGUUCCGACGGUACCCAAAGAAUAAGCACCGGCUAACUUCGUG